MicroRNA precursor from Cercocebus atys (sooty mangabey), 86 nucleotides. The record is from Ensembl. Lineage: Eukaryota; Metazoa; Chordata; Mammalia; Primates; Cercopithecidae.
AGCACUGCCCCCGGUGAGUCAGGGUGGGGCUGGCCCCCUGCUUCGUGCCCAUCCGCACUCUGACUCUCCACCUGCCUGCAGGAGCU